CGCUCCUUCCGGUGGAGCCCACGCAGGUGACCCUGAUCAGCCCAUGCCAGCUGCCGCCCUGGCAGUCACACGUCCGCCCCUCGUUCCUCCAGGCAAGCAACAGAGCCUAAAGAACCCAUGUCCAAUCAUCCUGGCGACCUAUGUCCAGGGAAUUGUCACUAACCAGCCAGCCACAUGGACGUGCGCUGGCGGGGAACCAUGGAGUAACAAAGGGCUGGAACUUGCCCUGGAAUUUCUGGGUCCCUUGAGAACAUCAUUUUCUCUCCCACUGUGACCCGGCCCUCCACCCAGGCCCUCUCACCUUGUCCUUCAGCAUGGGCAAGGUCUCCUUCUCCAGUGCCUCCCCCCAAAACUGCUGCUCCUCUGAGAGGUCCAUUGGGAAGGAGAGUAUGAAGCGGACCAGGGCCUCCACAACUGCUCAGGCUCACGUCACGGAGUCCAGGCCUCCCUGAGCAGCAGUUCCUCCACCUCCGAAUCCAGCCGGAUCCUCCCUCACCUAUCAAGGGGUCCACGAACUCCACAAUGGUGUUGGCAAGCGCUUCUACCAGGCUCCCAGCUUUGGAGAGCCAGAUCCUCCUGCCGCAGCUCUCCAAAGAUCAGGACGUCAAACACCUGGAGCCAGGAGGUCCUGCUCCCUGUGAAGUCACUGGAUGAGGAAGCUCAGAGCACCUUUUCUCUGCUUAUUCAGGCCCCGGAGGCUUCUCACCGUGUCCUGCACCUUCUCCUUCACGCUUCUGGAAACCUCCAAACUCGAGGACCUUCCUGUAAAGGCAGAAGUUAUGAACCUGACCCGCCCAGCCCAGUAGGCUUCAUUCCUAAAGCCCCUCCAGCCCCAUUAUUGUCUGCCUUGCUUUCAGAGACCACCUGCCUGUGUCUUCCCUUCUUCCAGUCUCAUCCUGUGGGAGGGAACCCUCCUCCAGCCUCUCACCACCAAUGCUUCUGGAUGAUGCCGCUCCCAUCUCCCAGACUCAACCCCAGUUUAACCCAAUCCCAAGUUCUCUGCCUCUGCGAUAUCAAAACCGGGUCAGUCAGUCCUUGCCUCUCAAAAUGCAGUGGCACUCAAUCCACUCAAAAUCCUCCACUCUAGAGGAGGGAGGGCUGAGGACUUUAAAGCAGUGCUGCCUGAAAAUCACCUGGAGGUUGUUAAAACCCCAGGGCGCAGGCCACGCCCCAGCCAAGCAAGUCCGGGUUUCCCAAGGCGGGACUCGGACAAGGCCAGUUUAAAGUCUCCCAGGGGAUUUCAGCAUUCAAACAUUGAGAACCCCGUUGUGUUUAGAGGAAGACCCUCCCAGCCCUGCACACGCCACUCAGCAGAGCAGCAGUCUGGGGUUGAGGCCCCAGGGGAUGGGUGCAGCCCCCAGCACACCUGGCUGCACUACGCUUGCUAAGCAAGUUGAGCCUCUGUCCUGAUCCCCAAAGAGGAGCUUCAGAGGCUCGUGGGUCAGCUCUGGUCCCCUGUAUGCACUUUUCCCAGGGGUGGAGAUUCUGACUCCCAGAUUCAGCCUUUGUGAAAGGGAGGCCGCCUGCACCCCAUUCUGGGGUGUAAAGAGCAAAGUGCUGCAUCUGUGGGCUUGGAAGCCAUGGGGUUCAGCCUGAGCAGUUGCCUGAGGGGAUAGGCAAUUCGGAGGAGCUCGGGCACAGCGGGCCCUCGGUCACCCCUCCAGCCUUUCCCAAGACUCCAGCGGAACAGCACUGCUGGGAUCCAGGGCUUCAGAACCACAGGGACCUCCUAGCCUAGCACCACUCCUUUUCUAGGGCCUUGUGCAUGCUAACUAGGUAAGUGCCAUGCUAUAC
Long non-coding RNA from Heterocephalus glaber (naked mole-rat), 1794 nucleotides. The record is from Ensembl. NCBI's taxonomy places the organism in Eukaryota, Metazoa, Chordata, Mammalia, Rodentia, Bathyergidae.